This 560-nucleotide ribosomal RNA is filed under the name Bacillus sp. Ni56. Its description in RNAcentral is "bacterial SSU rRNA". It matches the Rfam family "Bacterial small subunit ribosomal RNA", at positions 39 to 582 of the family's 1533-position model. Lineage: Bacteria; Bacillati; Bacillota; Bacilli; Caryophanales; Bacillaceae. The record is from RNAcentral.
GCCGCGUGCCUAAUACAUGCAAGUCGAGCGGACAGAUGGGAGCUUGCUCCCUGAUGUUAGCGGCGGACGGGUGAGUAACACGUGGGUAACCUGCCUGUAAGACUGGGAUAACUCCGGGAAACCGGGGCUAAUACCGGAUGCUUGUUUGAACCGCAUGGUUCAAACAUAAAAGGUGGCUUCGGCUACCACUUACAGAUGGACCCGCGGCGCAUUAGCUAGUUGGUGAGGUAAUGGCUCACCAAGGCAACGAUGCGUAGCCGACCUGAGAGGGUGAUCGGCCACACUGGGACUGAGACACGGCCCAGACUCCUACGGGAGGCAGCAGUAGGGAAUCUUCCGCAAUGGACGAAAGUCUGACGGAGCAACGCCGCGUGAGUGAUGAAGGUUUUCGGAUCGUAAAGCUCUGUUGUUAGGGAAGAACAAGUGCCGUUCAAAUAGGGCGGCACCUUGACGGUACCUAACCAGAAAGCCACGGCUAACUACGUGCCAGCAGCCGCGGUAAUACGUAGGUGGCAAGCGUUGUCCGGAAUUAUUGGGCGUAAGGGCUCGCAGGCGGUUUU